UCUCUGAAAGAAACUGACAGGGACCCAGAGGUGGUCUCUGUGGGUGGGUGGGGCGCUUUGGUGGGACGUGGAGAGGAGGGGAAGGGGCGUGGAGCCGGUCAGCACCUCCUCCGCCCAGCUCACUGAACAAUAAGCACAUGAUUUAAUACAGUCAGUAAAUCCUUUUCCGCCUCGGCUUCUCAGCUACCGCACGACAGGCUCGUAAUUCAGUUUUAAACAAGUCCGGGAUUAGGGCUGCAGCUGCGGGGUGCAGGGGUGUCCGUGUGUGUAGGCGGCGUGUCUGGCCCGGGGGUGACCACACCGCCUCCCGUGCAGGGGCAGAGGCUGGGGGCGGGCUGGGGUCCCUGGCACCGGGAAGGAAGGAGGCCUGGCAGCUCUCUCAAGCGGAGAGCUUGUGGCCUCGGGGAGGGGAGCUGUUGUGACCACAGAAUCUCCGGGCCGGAAGGGACCCUAGGCUUCAUCACACGGGGAAGCCCUGGCAACUUUGGAAAGGGGAGGAGAGAGGAAGCCCUCACUUUGGUCUCAGUUUUCACAUAUUGAAUUUAUUUGGAGCAGGGCCUGCUCCGAAAUUCCCACGGGGCCUUUUCUUCUGUUUCAGGUUUUUCAGAACCUGAGGGUUGGGAAACAGGGAUGAAAAGGGAGCCUGAUACCCCAGCUCAAGGAUGAGGGCGAGAGGAGGUGGGAGCUGCAGGAACAGUCUUCAAACCCAGGACAGGCAGCCCGUGGAGCUGGGGUUGGUGCGGGGCCACCCCCGAGGGAAGGGUUAGUACCGAUGGGAGGACAGCUAAGACGAGGCGACCUCGAGCCCCCAGCUUUGUAGCAGAGAAACAGCUGCCCUGGGAAGCAAGGAAGGGAGCCCCCCAUCCGGAAGGAGAGCUAGCAAGAUCACUGCUGUUGGAACAGAGGACGCAGGAGAGAAAAUGGAAGUCCUAGAGAAGAUCUACUGCCUCUCCUGAAAAUACAAGUUCAAAUCUGAGCACAGAAGCAAGGCAGAAGGACGUCUCCAGAGCAACUACUCUGAGGAAUGGUGACAACAUUGGCCUGGAGCCCCGAGUGUUAGCUUCAGCUGAGAAACCGGCCCCACCAGUCCCUGGGCCCAGCACUGUGGGCCCAGCUGCUCCUGCAAAGUCAACAGUGUCCAGAAACAAUGAAGGAGGAGGGGACAGCAGGGGGAGGCCCACAGCUGAUAUGCUCCCCGGCAGGCAUGUGACCCUCAGGGAUGACUGUCAGAGUAUCUCUGAACUUGGCCAUGCAACUUGCUUUGGCCAAUGGGACAUUAGGAAGCAAGAUAUAAGCAGAAACUUGGUAAGCUCUUGCAUGGUGGGGCUUGUCCUCCUGGAAUGCUCACUUUGGGGACAUUCCUUCUCCAAACUCAACU
Lemur catta (Ring-tailed lemur) is the source of this 1378-nucleotide long non-coding RNA. RefSeq lists it as uncharacterized. The record is from RefSeq and is a predicted model, not a curated record. NCBI's taxonomy places the organism in Eukaryota, Metazoa, Chordata, Mammalia, Primates, Lemuridae. The transcript is spliced from 4 exons.